RNAcentral lists this ribosomal RNA (1355 nucleotides) under uncultured bacterium. RNAcentral's name for it is "bacterial SSU rRNA". It matches the Rfam family "Bacterial small subunit ribosomal RNA", at positions 28 to 1381 of the family's 1533-position model. The record is from RNAcentral.
AUUGAACGCUGGCGGCAGGCUUAACACAUGCAAGUCGAACGAUGAUUAUCUAGCUUGCUAGAUAUGAUUAGUGGCGGACGGGUGAGUAACAUUUAGGAAUCUGCCUAGUAGUGGGGGAUAGCUCGGGGAAACUCGAAUUAAUACCGCAUACGACCUACGGGUGAAAGGGGGCGCAAGCUCUUGCUAUUAGAUGAGCCUAAAUCAGAUUAGCUAGUUGGUGGGGUAAAGGCCCACCAAGGCGACGAUCUGUAACUGGUCUGAGAGGAUGAUCAGUCACACCGGAACUGAGACACGGUCCGGACUCCUACGGGAGGCAGCAGUGGGGAAUAUUGGGCAAUGGGGGCAACCCUGAUCCAGCCAUGCCGCGUGUGUGAAGAAGGCCUUUUGGUUGUAAAGCACUUUAAGCAGGGAGGAGAGGCUAAUGGUUAAUACCCAUUAGAUUAGACGUUACCUGCAGAAUAAGCACCGGCUAACUCUGUGCCAGCAGCCGCGGUAAUACAGAGGGUGCGAGCGUUAAUCGGAAUUACUGGGCGUAAAGCGAGUGUAGGUGGCUCAUUAAGUCACAUGUGAAAUCCCCGGGCUUAACCUGGGAACUGCAUGUGAUACUGGUGGUGCUAGAAUAUGUGAGAGGGAAGUAGAAUUCCAGGUGUAGCGGUGAAAUGCGUAGAGAUCUGGAGGAAUACCGAUGGCGAAGGCAGCUUCCUGGCAUAAUAUUGACACUGAGAUUCGAAAGCGUGGGUAGCAAACAGGAUUAGAUACCCUGGUAGUCCACGCCGUAAACGAUGUCUACUAGCCGUUGGGGUCCUUGAGACUUUAGUGGCGCAGUUAACGCGAUAAGUAGACCGCCUGGGGAGUACGGCCGCAAGGUUAAAACUCAAAUGAAUUGACGGGGGCCCGCACAAGCGGUGGAGCAUGUGGUUUAAUUCGAUGCAACGCGAAGAACCUUACCUGGUCUUGACAUAGUGAGAAUCCUGCAGAGAUGCGGGAGUGCCUUCGGGAAUUCACAUACAGGUGCUGCAUGGCUGUCGUCAGCUCGUGUCGUGAGAUGUUGGGUUAAGUCCCGCAACGAGCGCAACCCUUUUCCUUAUUUGCCAGCGGGUUAAGCCGGGAACUUUAAGGAUACUGCCAGUGACAAACUGGAGGAAGGCGGGGACGACGUCAAGUCAUCAUGGCCCUUACGACCAGGGCUACACACGUGCUACAAUGGUAGGUACAGAGGGUUGCUACACAGCGAUGUGAUGCUAAUCUCAAAAAGCCUAUCGUAGUCCGGAUUGGAGUCUGCAACUCGACUCCAUGAAGUCGGAAUCGCUAGUAAUCGCAGAUCAGAAUGCUGCGGUGAAUACGUUCCCGGGCCU